AAUCAACGCUGGCGGCGUGCCUAACACAUGCAAGUCGAACGCGAAAGUCCCGCAAGGGAUGAGUAGAGUGGCAAACGGGUGAGUAACACGUGGGUGACCUGCCUUCGAGCGGGGGAUAACGUCCCGAAAGGGACGCUAAUACCGCAUGACAUCCUGCCUUUGAAGAGGUGGAGAUCAAAGCUGGGGAUCGCAAGACCUAGCACUUGAAGAGGGGCCCGCGUCUGAUUAGCUAGUUGGUGGGGUAACGGCUCACCAAGGCAACGAUCAGUAUCCGGCCUGAGAGGGCGGACGGACACACUGGGACUGAGACACGGCCCAGACACCUACGGGUGGCUG
RNAcentral lists this ribosomal RNA (336 nucleotides) under uncultured Acidobacteriota bacterium. RNAcentral's name for it is "bacterial SSU rRNA". It matches the Rfam family "Bacterial small subunit ribosomal RNA", at positions 32 to 351 of the family's 1533-position model. Lineage: Bacteria; Pseudomonadati; Acidobacteriota. The record is from RNAcentral.